RNAcentral lists this ribosomal RNA (433 nucleotides) under uncultured bacterium. RNAcentral's name for it is "partial 16S ribosomal RNA". It matches the Rfam family "Bacterial small subunit ribosomal RNA", at positions 29 to 507 of the family's 1533-position model. The record is from RNAcentral.
AACGAACGCUGGCGGCAUGCCUAACACAUGCAAGUCGAACGAGACCUUCGGGUCUAGUGGCGCACGGGUGCGUAACGCGUGGGAACCUGCCCUUAGGUUCGGAAUAACUCCCCGAAAGGGGUGCUAAUACCGGAUAAUGUCUUCGGACCAAAGAUUUAUCGCCUUUGGAUGGGCCCGCGUUGGAUUAGCUAGUUGGUAGGGUAAAAGCCUACCAAGGCGACGAUCCAUAGCUGGUCUGAGAGGAUGAUCAUCCACACUGGGACUGAGACACGGCCCAGACUCCUACGGGAGGCAGCAGUGGGGAAUAUUGGACAAUGGGCGAAAGCCUGAUCCAGCAAUGCCGCGUGAGUGAUGAAGGCCUUAGGGUUGUAAAGCUCUUUUACCCGGGAUGAUAAUGGCAGUACCGGGAGAAUAAGCUCCGGCUAACUCCGUG